ACACCAACUUCUUUUAUUAAACAAAAACCAAUACAAAAUUAAAAACUAACUUCAUCAAAAACCAAGUCUCUAAGCAAUGGAUGUCUUGGCUCCUCACACGAUGAAGAACGUGGCAUAAUGUGUUAAGUAACCGGAGUUGCAAACAUCAUGACAGGUUAAUCUUUGAAUGCAAAUUGCGCUAAACUCGAUCUCGGUCGAGAAGCAUGGGUGUGACAGUACUACAUCUUUUAUAAUAAUUCUUAUUCUAAGCGAAUAAGUAAAUAAUAUAUAAGACAAACAACACGUAGUCUGCCAUACGCAGGAAGACCCGCUGAACUGAAGCAUCUCAUUAAGCGG
This 336-nucleotide ribosomal RNA is filed under the name Trichomonas vaginalis G3. RNAcentral's name for it is "5.8S ribosomal RNA". The stretch from base 66 to 221 matches the Rfam family "5.8S ribosomal RNA". The record is from RNAcentral. Lineage: Eukaryota; Parabasalia; Trichomonadida; Trichomonadidae.